GAUGAACGCUAGCUACAGGCUUAACACAUGCAAGUCGAGGGGAAACGGCAUUAAGUGCUUGCACUUUUUGGACGUCGACCGGCGCACGGGUGAGUAACGCGUAUCCAACCUUCCCAUGACUAAGGGAUAACCUGCCGAAAGGCAGACUAAUACCUUAUGGUCUUCACUGACGGCAUCAGAUGUGAAGUAAAGAUUUAUCGGUUAUGGAUGGGGAUGCGUCUGAUUAGCUUGUUGGCGGGGUAACGGCCCACCAAGGCAACGAUCAGUAGGGGUUCUGAGAGGAAGGUCCCCCACAUUGGAACUGAGACACGGUCCAAACUCCUACGGGAGGCAGCAGUGAGGAAUAUUGGUCAAUGGGCGAGAGCCUGAACCAGCCAAGUAGCGUGCAGGAUGACGGCCCUAUGGGUUGUAAACUGCUUUUGUAUGGGGAUAAAGUCAAUCACGUGUGAUUGUUUGCAGGUACCAUACGAAUAAGGACCGGCUAAUUCC
This 489-nucleotide ribosomal RNA is filed under the name uncultured bacterium. RNAcentral describes it as "partial 16S ribosomal RNA". It matches the Rfam family "Bacterial small subunit ribosomal RNA", at positions 28 to 504 of the family's 1533-position model. The record is from RNAcentral.